This 253-nucleotide ribosomal RNA is filed under the name uncultured bacterium. Its description in RNAcentral is "partial 16S ribosomal RNA". It matches the Rfam family "Bacterial small subunit ribosomal RNA", at positions 524 to 776 of the family's 1533-position model. The record is from RNAcentral.
UACGUAGGGGGCAAGCGUUGUCCGGAAUCACUGGGCGUAAAGCGUGCGUAGGCGGUCUGAUAAGUCUAGGGUGAAAGUCCAGAGCUCAACUCUGGGAUUGCCUUGGAAACUGUUGGACUUGAGUACUGGAGAGGCAAGGGGAAUUCCACGUGUAGCGGUGAAAUGCGUAGAUAUGUGGAGGAAUACCAGUGGCGAAGGCGCCUUGCUGGACAGUGACUGACGCUGAGGCACGAAAGCGUGGGGAGCAAACAGG